Molecule: ribosomal RNA, 481 nt
Filed under: uncultured bacterium
Lineage: Bacteria
Description: bacterial SSU rRNA
Rfam family: Bacterial small subunit ribosomal RNA
Source: RNAcentral
GAUGAACGCUGGCGGCGUGCUUAACACAUGCAAGUCGAACGAAGAAGAGUUGAAUGAGAGCUUCGGCAGGAUUUCUUCUCAUCUUAGUGGCGGACGGGUGAGUAACGUGUGGGCAACCUGCCCUAUACUGGGGAAUAAUCACUGGAAACGGUGACUAAUACCGCAUGUCAUCACCGGAGGGCAUCCUCUGGUGAAAAAAGGNGCAAUUCGGUAUAGGAUGGGCCCGCAUCUGAUUAGCUAGUUGGUGAGAUAACAGCCCACCAAGGCGACGAUCAGUAGCCGACCUGAGAGGGUGACCGGCCACAUUGGGACUGAGACACGGCCCAAAACUCCUACGGGAGCAGCAGUGGGGAAUAUUGCACAAUGGGCGAAAGCCUGAUGCAGCGACGCCGCGUGAAUGAAGAAGUAUUUCGGUAUGUAAAGUUCUAUCAGCAGGGAAGAUAAUGACGGUACCUGACUAAGAAGCACCGGCUAAAUACGU